Molecule: long non-coding RNA, 313 nt
Filed under: Homo sapiens (human)
Lineage: Eukaryota; Metazoa; Chordata; Mammalia; Primates; Hominidae
Description: non-protein coding lnc-CCT5-13:1
Source: RNAcentral
CCAGAGGCUGCCUGCAUUCCUUGGCUCAUGGCUCCUCUUCCAUCUUCAAAGCCAGCAACCAACCAGGUCUUUCUCACAUUGUGUCACUCUGGUUUCCUCUUAUACCUUUCUCUUCUACUUGUUAUCACACAGUCCUGCCUCAAGAUGGGUUUGGGCAAGAACAUAAUUGCCCCAAGUCCCUGACAUAAACGGGUGUAGUAUGCGCAUAUAACCUGCAUCCUCCACAUUGUCAUCAAUAGUGACAGAACCCUUGGGAUAACACUGGGCCCACCCAGAUAAUCCAGGCUAAUCUCCCCAUCUACUGGUAUGAAAC